GACGAACGCUGGCGGCGUGCCUAAUACAUGCAAGUUGAGCGAUGAAGAUUGGUGCUUGCACCAAUUUGAAGAGCAGCGAACGGGUGAGUAACGCGUGGGGAAUCUGCCUUUGAGCGGGGGACAACAUUUGGAAACGAAUGCUAAUACCGCAUAACAACUUUAAACAUAAGUUUUAAGUUUGAAAGAUGCAAUUGCAUCACUCAAAGAUGAUCCCGCGUUGUAUUAGCUAGUUGGUGAGGUAAAGGCUCACCAAGGCGAGGAUACAUAGCCGACCUGAGAGGGUGAUCGUCCACAUUGGGACUGAGAGACGGCCCAAACUCCUACGGGAGGCAGCAGUAGGGAAUCUUCGGCAAUGGACGAAAGUCUGACCGAGCAACGCCGCGUGAGUGAAGAAGGUUUUCGGAUCGUAAAACUCUGUUGGUAGAGAAGAACGUUGGUGAGAGUGGAAAGCUCAUCAGGUGACGGUAACUACCCAGAAAGGGACGGCUAACUACGUG
This 497-nucleotide ribosomal RNA is filed under the name uncultured bacterium. RNAcentral describes it as "partial 16S ribosomal RNA". It matches the Rfam family "Bacterial small subunit ribosomal RNA", at positions 28 to 507 of the family's 1533-position model. The record is from RNAcentral.